Molecule: ribosomal RNA, 440 nt
Filed under: uncultured bacterium
Lineage: Bacteria
Description: partial 16S ribosomal RNA
Rfam family: Bacterial small subunit ribosomal RNA
Source: RNAcentral
CCUACGUGAGGCUGCAGUGGGGAAUAUUGCACAAUGGGGGGAACCCUGAUGCAGCGACGCCGCGUGGAUGAAGAAGCGCCUCGGCUCGUAAAGCACUUUCAGCAGGGAGGAAAAUGACGGUGUCUAUAGAAUAAGCCCCGGCUAACUACGUGCCAGCAGCCGCGGUAAUACGUAGGGGGCAAGCGCUAUUCGGAUUUACUGGGGGUAAAGGGAGCGCAGACGGUGAUGCAAGCCAGGAGUGAAAGCCCCGGGCGCAACCCCGGGACUGCUCUUGGAACUGGGUGGCUGGAGUGCAGGAGGGGCAGGCGGAAUUCCUGGUGUAGCGGUGAAAUGCGUAGAUAUCAGGAGGAACACCGGUGGCGAAGGCGGCCUGCUGGACUGCAACUGACGUUGAGGUGCGAAAGCGUGGGGAGCAAACAGGAUUAGAUACCCCUGUAGUC